GAUGAACGCUGGCGGCGUGCCUAAUACAUGCAAGUCGAGCGAACGGACGAGAAGCUUGCUUCUCUGAUGUUAGCGGCGGACGGGUGAGUAACACGUGGAUAACCUACCUAUAAGACUGGGAUAACUUCGGGAAACCGGAGCUAAUACCGGAUAAUAUUUUGAACCGCAUGGUUCAAAAGUGAAAGACGGUCUUGCUGUCACUUAUAGAUGGAUCCGCGCUGCAUUAGCUAGUUGGUAAGGUAACGGCUUACCAAGGCAACGAUGCAUAGCCGACCUGAGGGGGUGAUCGGCCACACUGGAACUGAGACACGGUCCAGACUCCUACGGGAGGCAGCAGUAGGGAAUCUUCCGCAAUGGGCGAAAGCCUGACGGAGCAACGCCGCGUGAGUGAUGAAGGUCUUCGGAUCGUAAAACUCUGUUAUUAGGGAAGAACAUAUGUGUAAGUAACUGUGCACAUCUUGACGGUACCUAAUCAGAAAGCCACGGCUAACUACGUGCCAGCAGCCGCGGUAAUACGUAGGUGGCAAGCGUUAUCCGGAAUUAUUGGGCGUAAAGCGCGCGUAGGCGGUUUUUUAAGUCUGAUGUGAAAGCCCACGGCUCAACCGUGGAGGGUCAUUGGAAACUGGAAAACUUGAGUGCAGAAGAGGAAAGUGGAAUUCCAUGUGUAGCGGUGAAAUGCGCAGAGAUAUGGAGGAACACCAGUGGCGAAGGCGACUUUCUGGUCUGUAACUGACGCUGAUGUGCGAAAGCGUGGGGAUCAAACAGGAUUAGAUACCCUGGUAGUCCACGCCGUAAACGAUGAGUGCUAAGUGUUAGGGGGUUUCCGCCCCUUAGUGCUGCAGCUAACGCAUUAAGCACUCCGCCUGGGGAGUACGACCGCAAGGUUGAAACUCAAAGGAAUUGACGGGGACCCGCACAAGCGGUGGAGCAUGUGGUUUAAUUCGAAGCAACGCGAAGAACCUUACCAAAUCUUGACAUCCUUUGACAACUCUAGAGAUGGAGCUUUCCCCUUCGGGGGACAAAGUGACAGGUGGUGCAUGGUUGUCGUCAGCUCGUGUCGUGAGAUGUUGGGUUAAGUCCCGCAACGAGCGCAACCCUUAAGCUUAGUUGCCAUCAUUAAGUUGGGCACUCUAAGUUGACUGCCGGUGACAAACCGGAGGAAGGUGGGGAUGACGUCAAAUCAUCAUGCCCCUUAUGAUUUGGGCUACACACGUGCUACAAUGGACAAUACAAAGGGCAGCGAAACCGCGAGGUCAAGCAAAUCCCAUAAAGUUGUUCUCAGUUCGGAUUGUAGUCUGCAACUCGACUACAUGAAGCUGGAAUCGCUAGUAAUCGUAGAUCAGCAUGCUACGGUGAAUACGUUCCCGGGUCU
This 1372-nucleotide ribosomal RNA is filed under the name uncultured bacterium. Its description in RNAcentral is "bacterial SSU rRNA". It matches the Rfam family "Bacterial small subunit ribosomal RNA", at positions 28 to 1381 of the family's 1533-position model. The record is from RNAcentral.